Molecule: ribosomal RNA, 433 nt
Filed under: uncultured bacterium
Lineage: Bacteria
Description: partial 16S ribosomal RNA
Rfam family: Bacterial small subunit ribosomal RNA
Source: RNAcentral
AGCGAACGCUGGCGGCAGGCCUAACACAUGCAAGUCGAACGAACUCUUCGGAGUUAGUGGCGGCCGGGUUAGUAACACGUGGGAACGUGCCUUUUGGUUCGGAAUAACUCAGGGAAACUUGUACUAAUACCGAAUGUGCCCUUCGGGGGAAAGAUUUAUCGCGAUUGGUGCGGCCAGCGUCUGAUUAGCUGGUUGGUGAGGUAACGGCUCACCAAGGCGUCGAUCAGUAGCUGGUCUGAGAGGAUGACCAGCCACACUGGGACGGAGACGCGGCCCAGACUCCUACGGGAGGCAGCAGUGGGUAAUCUUGCGCAAUGGGCGAAAGCCUGACGGAGCCAGGCCGGGUGAAUGAUGAAGGUCUUAGGAUUGUAAAAUUCUUUCACCGGGGACGAUAAUGACGGUACCCGGAGAAGAAGCCCCGGCUAACUUCGUG